This 303-nucleotide ribosomal RNA is filed under the name uncultured bacterium. Its description in RNAcentral is "partial 16S ribosomal RNA". It matches the Rfam family "Bacterial small subunit ribosomal RNA", at positions 507 to 807 of the family's 1533-position model. The record is from RNAcentral.
AGCAGUCGCCGCGGGAAUACGUAGGUGGCAAGCGUUGUCCGGAAUUAUUGGGCGUAAAGCGCGCGCAGGUGGUUUAAUAAGUCUGAUGUGAAAGCCCACGGCUCAACCGUGGAGGGUCAUUGGAAACUGUUAAACUUGAGUGCAGGAGAGAAAAGUGGAAUUCCUAGUGUAGCGGUGAAAUGCGUAGAGAUUAGGAGGAACACCAGUGGCGAAGGCGGCUUUUUGGCCUGUAACUGACACUGAGGCGCGAAAGCGUGGGGAGCAAACAGGAUUAGAUACCCCCGUAGUCCCUGUCUCUUAUAC